Molecule: long non-coding RNA, 385 nt
Organism: Panicum virgatum (switchgrass)
Lineage: Eukaryota; Viridiplantae; Streptophyta; Magnoliopsida; Poales; Poaceae
Exons: 2
Source: RefSeq, a predicted model, not a curated record
AAAGGAACAUCUCAGUCAAAAGCCAAAAUGGCACAUUCAUAGAUCAGAACCAGUUACAAAGGACCAGGAGACAUCUUUGUCAACCUCUUUUGGAUAUGUAUCUACGUACCUAUAUCACCUACAAUCUUAGCUUAAUCUAGGUGUUUUAGUAAAUGCACCGUAUUUUGUUGUACAUAUGGUGAUGGUCACAAGACAAAUACUGAUUAGUUCAGAGAAAUAGCUCUGAUGUUCAGCAAGCCCAAAACUUCUGCUAUUUGCAACUACGCAAACCAAAGAUACAGCAAAAGUCUGUAAUAUUUUGGUGUAUCAUAUAUGCCAUAACAAAAAUAAUUGUGUGUCUGCCACGAAGCCUGACUCCAAGUGCUAAAUAAUUAAGCUUUUUUCA